UACGUAGGGUGUAAGCGUUAUCCGGAAUUAUUGGGCGUAAAGAGCUCGUAGGCGGUUUGUCGCGUCUGCUGUGAAAACUGGAGGCUCAACCUCCAGCCUGCAGUGGGUACGGGCAGACUAGAGUGCGGUAGGGGAGAUUGGAAUUCCUGGUGUAGCGGUGGAAUGCGCAGAUAUCAGGAGGAACACCGAUGGCGAAGGCAGAUCUCUGGGCCGUAACUGACGCUGAGGAGCGAAAGCAUGGGGAGCGAACAGG
This 253-nucleotide ribosomal RNA is filed under the name uncultured bacterium. Its description in RNAcentral is "partial 16S ribosomal RNA". It matches the Rfam family "Bacterial small subunit ribosomal RNA", at positions 524 to 776 of the family's 1533-position model. The record is from RNAcentral.